This 279-nucleotide ribosomal RNA is filed under the name uncultured Glomus. RNAcentral describes it as "partial 18S small subunit ribosomal RNA". It matches the Rfam family "Eukaryotic small subunit ribosomal RNA", at positions 591 to 875 of the family's 1831-position model. The record is from RNAcentral. Lineage: Eukaryota; Fungi; Glomeromycota; Glomeromycetes; Glomerales; Glomeraceae.
CCAAUAGCGUAUAUUAAAGUUGCUGCAGUUAAAAAGCUCGUAGUUGAAUUUCGGGACCAAUAUGUCGGUCGUGCUUCGGUACGUACUGUCAUAAUUGGUUUCUCCCUUCUGAAGAACCUUGAUGUCAUUAAUUUGGUGUCUUGGGGAAUCAGGACUGUUACUUUGAAAAAAUUAGAGUGUUUAAAGCAGGCUCGCGCUUGAAUACAUUAGCAUGGAAUAAUGAAAUAGGACGUUUGAUUCUAUUUUGUUGGUUUCUAGGAUCGACGUAAUGAUUAAUAG